Long non-coding RNA from Amblyraja radiata (thorny skate), 133 nucleotides. RefSeq lists it as uncharacterized. The record is from RefSeq and is a predicted model, not a curated record. NCBI's taxonomy places the organism in Eukaryota, Metazoa, Chordata, Chondrichthyes, Rajiformes, Rajidae. The transcript is spliced from 3 exons.
ACUGCUUGGGCAAAGAGAUAAAGCUACAAGUGUAGCAGUUCCUGCGGUUGCGAGGGAAAGUACCCGGGGAGGGGGUGGUUUGGGUGGAAAGGGACGAACUGACCAGGGAGUUGGGGAAGGAACGGUCUCUGCG